UUACGGCCAUAUUGCUUGAAACCCCGGUUCCCGUACGAUCAACGAAGUUAAGCAACAUCGAGCCUGGCCAGUACUUAAAUGGCUGACCGCUUGGACAUAUCAGGUGCUGUAAG
Molecule: non-coding RNA, 113 nt
Organism: Acanthosepion pharaonis
Lineage: Eukaryota; Metazoa; Mollusca; Cephalopoda; Sepiida; Sepiidae
Source: the annotation of a GenBank genome assembly